This 423-nucleotide ribosomal RNA is filed under the name uncultured bacterium. Its description in RNAcentral is "partial 16S ribosomal RNA". It matches the Rfam family "Bacterial small subunit ribosomal RNA", at positions 355 to 762 of the family's 1533-position model. The record is from RNAcentral.
UGGGGAAUUUUGGACAAUGGGCGAAAGCCUGAUCCAGCAAUGCCGCGUGUGUGAAGAAGGCCUUCGGGUUGUAAAGCACUUUUGUCCGGAAAGAAAUCCUUGGCUCUAAUACAGUCGGGGGAGUGACGGUACCGGAAGAAUAAGACCGGCUAACUACGUGCCAGCAGCCGCGGUAAUACGUAGGGUGCAAGCGUUAAUCGGAAUUACUGGGCGUAAAGCGUGCGCAGGCGGUUUUGCUAAGACCGAUGUGAAAUCCCCGGGCGUCAACCUGGGCAACUGGCAAUUGGUGAUGCUGGGCAGGCUAGAGUAUGGCAGAGGGGGGUGAAAUUCCACGUGUAGCAGUGAAAUGCGUAGAGAUGUGGAGGAAUACCGAUGGCGAAGGCAGCCCCCUGGCAAGUCACUGACGCUCAUGCACGAAAGCGU